Molecule: non-coding RNA, 85 nt
Organism: Felis catus (domestic cat)
Lineage: Eukaryota; Metazoa; Chordata; Mammalia; Carnivora; Felidae
Source: Rfam
GCCUGGGUGGCUGUGUCAGUUAAGCAUCUGACUUCAGCUCAGGUCAUGAUCUCACACUUGGUGAGUUCGAGCCCCACGCCGGGCU